This 261-nucleotide unclassified non-coding RNA is filed under the name Hevea brasiliensis (rubber tree). Lineage: Eukaryota; Viridiplantae; Streptophyta; Magnoliopsida; Malpighiales; Euphorbiaceae. The record is from RNAcentral.
AGGAAGAAGAAAGAAGGCAUCUCUCUAUUAAGCGUAUGAAUUAGAAUUACCCAGCAACGUACUUGAACAGAAAGAUCAAGUGUUAAUGGCAUCAAUAGUAGGAAGGAAAAAAAAGUAAAAUAAUAUGUUAAAACCUUUUAAAGAAAAUCUAAGCAAUCUAGAACCAAUGAGAAGUUCAUGAGAAAUGCAUGAGUCUAGGCACCAUUCCUGGUUCUAAGCCUGGUCCAAAUUAGUCAUUCAAAGGCUAACAUGAGCUUUGAU